This 471-nucleotide long non-coding RNA is filed under the name Diabrotica virgifera virgifera (western corn rootworm). Its description in RNAcentral is "uncharacterized LOC126879452". The record is from RNAcentral. Lineage: Eukaryota; Metazoa; Arthropoda; Insecta; Coleoptera; Chrysomelidae.
GUGACUUUCUGGUUCAUUUUUAUAAUCGUCGCCAAGUAGGUAGCAUCAAACAACUGCAGACCUAAUUGGCACCCAGGAGAAGGGCGUGGCCCUAGCUUCAACACGUCCGUUUCGGCCCAGAGCUUAGUAUGUUCCCCAGAUAAGUAACGUGAAUACCAGAACGAUAUCAGGUACGAGAACCACUUCCUCGAGACAGUUACCCAUGGGUUCGAAGAACUGUUAAUUAGCUCCGGAGGCAACCACCAUGCAUCAAAUUUUCACCUGACGCCUCCCGAAGAAGAUCUGGAGCUGUAGAUAACCUAGGACAGCACCGGAAGAAGAUUUCACACCACAAGCUAAGUCUUUAUUUGAAUCUUAUAUUUGCCUGUCAGCAGAGACAGUUUUUUUUAUAUAAAGUAGCUUCACAUUGACUAUAAUGUAGAUCCUAAAUUAUAACCAAUGAAAUGAGAAAAUAAAGCAUUUAUACCGAAA